This 62-nucleotide transfer RNA is filed under the name Scriptaphyosemion wieseae. RNAcentral describes it as "partial tRNA-Gln". It matches the Rfam family "tRNA", at positions 1 to 63 of the family's 71-position model. From Rfam's summary of the family: Transfer RNA (tRNA) molecules are approximately 80 nucleotides in length. The record is from RNAcentral. Lineage: Eukaryota; Metazoa; Chordata; Actinopteri; Cyprinodontiformes; Nothobranchiidae.
UAGGAAGUGGUGUAGUGGGAGCACUAAGAGUUUUGAUCUCUUAAGGUGGGGUUCAAACCCCC